RNAcentral lists this ribosomal RNA (492 nucleotides) under uncultured bacterium. RNAcentral describes it as "partial 16S ribosomal RNA". It matches the Rfam family "Bacterial small subunit ribosomal RNA", at positions 29 to 507 of the family's 1533-position model. The record is from RNAcentral.
AGUGAACGCUGGCGGUAGGCCUAACACAUGCAAGUCGAACGGCAGCACAGUAAGAGCUUGCUCUUACGGGUGGCGAGUGGCGGACGGGUGAGGAAUACAUCGGAAUCUACUUUUUCGUGGGGGAUAACGUAGGGAAACUUACGCUAAUACCGCAUACGACCUACGGGUGAAAGCAGGGGAUCUUCGGACCUUGCGCGAUUGAAUGAGCCGAUGUCGGAUUAGCUAGUUGGCGGGGUAAAGGCCCACCAAGGCGACGAUCCGUAGCUGGUCUGAGAGGAUGAUCAGCCACACUGGAACUGAGACACGGUCCAGACCCCUACGGGAGGCAGCAGUGGGGAAUAUUGGACAAUGGGCGCAAGCCUGAUCCAGCCAUACCGCGUGGGUGAAGAAGACCUUCGGGUUGUAAGGCCCUUUUGUUGGGAAAGAAAAGCAGCAGGUUAAUACCCCGCUGUUCUGACGGUACCCAAAGAAUAAGCACCGGCUAACUUCGUG